GUCAUGAUAGCUCGGUUGGUAGAGCAGAGGACUGAAUCCUUGUGUCACCAGUUCAAAUAUGGUUCCUGGCA
Molecule: transfer RNA, 71 nt
Filed under: Eragrostis curvula (weeping love grass)
Lineage: Eukaryota; Viridiplantae; Streptophyta; Magnoliopsida; Poales; Poaceae
Description: tRNA tRNA-Ser
Rfam family: tRNA
About the family: Transfer RNA (tRNA) molecules are approximately 80 nucleotides in length. Their secondary structure includes four short double-helical elements and three loops (D, anti-codon, and T loops).
Source: Rfam by way of RNAcentral